UAAGACACGCAGGGAGCAUUCCAAGCCAUCCUUAAGGAAGGACUGGGAUGAUAUCGGAAACAAGAAGGGGCAUAGCUGUUUGCCCUUGGGUUUUAACUAUUCAGGUAUGACUUUAGCACAGCAAGGAAGCAUGGGGCAUGUGGGGGCACCAAAAAGAGAAUUUGAAGGGGUCAGGGAUGUCCUCGAAGAACUGAGGCAGACUUUGGAGGCAGUCCUGCAGUACCCCUAGGAUAACCCUAAGGACAUUCUGUAUGUUCGAAUCUUGAACGCAAGGACUACAGGGAAAGAGCAAUGGCUCGAGUUAAGAGGACCUGGAUCCAAACCUCAGUACUCGUGUCUACUACCUGGGUGACCUUGGGAGCGAUGUGCAGCUAUGAGAGUUUGACUACAAGGAAUGCUGAGCACUUGCAGAAUCAAAGUUUUGAAUUGUGGUGCUGGAGAAGAGAUAUGGCUUGGACAGCAAGGAGAUCAAAUCCGUCAAUAUGUAAAGAAAUGAAUCAGACCCUUCACUGGAAGGUCAAAUACUGA
This 528-nucleotide long non-coding RNA is filed under the name Monodelphis domestica (gray short-tailed opossum). Its description in RNAcentral is "lncRNA (ENSMODG00000047441.1)". Lineage: Eukaryota; Metazoa; Chordata; Mammalia; Didelphimorphia; Didelphidae. The record is from RNAcentral.